This 76-nucleotide transfer RNA is filed under the name Oligoflexia bacterium. Its description in RNAcentral is "tRNA-Phe". It matches the Rfam family "tRNA". Rfam says of the family: Transfer RNA (tRNA) molecules are approximately 80 nucleotides in length. Lineage: Bacteria; Pseudomonadati; Bdellovibrionota; Oligoflexia. The record is from RNAcentral.
GGCCUGAUAGCUCAGUCGGUAGAGCAGAGCCCUGAAAAGGCUUGUGUCGGCGGUUCGAUUCCGUCUCAGGCCACCA